AGUGAGCGCUGGCGGUAGGCCUAACACAUGCAAGUCGAACGGCAGCACAGGAGAGCUUGCUCUCUGGGUGGCGAGUGGCGGACGGGUGAGGAAUACAUCGGAAUCUACUCUGUCGUGGGGGAUAACGUAGGGAAACUUACGCUAAUACCGCAUACGACCUACGGGUGAAAGCAGGGGACCUUCGGGCCUUGCGCGAUUGAAUGAGCCGAUGUCGGAUUAGCUGGUUGGCGGGGUAAAGGCCCACCAAGGCGACGAUCCGUAGCUGGUCUGAGAGGAUGAUCAGCCACACUGGAACUGGGACACGGUCCAGACUCCGACGGGAGUAAGCAUUGGGGAAUAUUGGACAAUGGGCGCAAGCCUGAUCCAGCCAUACCGCGUGGGUGAAGAAGGCCUUCGGGUUGUAAAGCCCUUUUGUUGGGAAAGAAAUCCAGCUGGCUAAUACCCGGUUGGGAUGACGGUACCCAAAGAAUAAGCACCGGCUAACUUCGUGCCAGCCGCCGCCGUAA
RNAcentral lists this ribosomal RNA (506 nucleotides) under uncultured bacterium. Its description in RNAcentral is "partial 16S ribosomal RNA". It matches the Rfam family "Bacterial small subunit ribosomal RNA", at positions 29 to 523 of the family's 1533-position model. The record is from RNAcentral.